RNAcentral lists this ribosomal RNA (115 nucleotides) under Cordylochernes scorpioides. The record is from RNAcentral. Lineage: Eukaryota; Metazoa; Arthropoda; Arachnida; Pseudoscorpiones; Chernetidae.
ACGGCCAUACCACAUUGAAAACACCGGUUCUCGUCUGAUCACCGAAGUUAAGCAAUGUCGGGCCCGGUCAGUACUUGGGAGGGUGACCACCUGGGAACACCAGGUGCUGUAGGCU